Cercocebus atys (sooty mangabey) is the source of this 72-nucleotide microRNA precursor. Lineage: Eukaryota; Metazoa; Chordata; Mammalia; Primates; Cercopithecidae. The record is from Ensembl.
CUGCUUCAACAACAGUGACUUGCUCUCCAAUGGUAUCCAGUGAUUCGUUGAAGAGGAGGUGCUCUGUGGCAG